AACGUAGAAGGCCACGACGACUUGUAUUCCCCAGGGAAUGGCCCUGAACUCUGCGUCCACAGCAUGGACACUUGUGGGCCUCCCCCAUGGGCUGCCAAGGGGUGAAAAGAAAAGUUAGGUGUCAACAGGACAGCAGUGUGCCUCUCCUGUAAGGGGGCUCUUCCCAGGUCUGAGCAUGUCACUGAUGUAUUGUAGCAGUCCUGGGGGAAUUGAUGCUUUUGUGCUCCUUGAGGGAUCCAGGGGAGGAAGUUAUGGUGGGAUUGAAUUUGAAUUCUUAACUCUUCAAUGACCCUGUAUUUUGCAGAAUUUCUAUUUUAGUUUUCUAGGUGAUAAACCAUGCUCAUCGGUGAAUUCCUGUACUUGCCCUGUUACUUCCUCAAGAAAACCCUCUGACAAAACUGCUGGAUCAAAAGGAUAAGCAGGUUUGAACAGACAUGCUGUGCCUUGCCCACCACAAGGCUGACUAUGGAGUUGUGACAGUCUGUGCAGGGAAUGUUCGUGCAGUGUGUUAUAUAAUGCUGCCAAAAGAUAAACUUGUGGAAAAGCUCAAUUUGCCACGAAGACACAUUUGCUUGCAGAAGGCCAGGAUUGGUCACUGUGAGUGCUCUAAGCUGUUACGUCCAGAUGUACUUGGGGCUAGAAGUGUUGACGUGUUAGGACUUUUGGUUCUGUUUUCACAUUACAAAAUGUUUCAUUUAGCAACAAUUCUCAUCAAAUUAGCUUUUUAAUUCAACUUUGGGGCUAAUGAGUGUUCUCUUGAUGGUUCCUGUAAAUCUGGUGCAGUCUUUAAAUGGUGUCUAGGUUCCUGUUGCUCUUGUGUUUCUACCCUGGCUGGGACCAGGGUAGCACCAUGUUCAGGGAUGUCCUGGUGCCCUGUGUACCACCAAGGUUGACUUGCAAUGCUUUUUGCUCCCAGUUUUAGAGGCCCUAGGCCACAGCUUACCAUUUUGACUUUCUUCACUCAUCCAUACAGAACAGAUGCUUUGGGGCUCAGAAAAUGAUACCUUAAUGUUUGGCACCUUGGCUUGCUAAGCAGUGUUGAAAUAAAAAACUUUGGGAAAACCUUAGACACCACCUAAGAGCUAAGAACUUUCUAACCUAUUCUUUUUUUCUCCUCAGUGCAGGGAAAGAUUGUAUUUCCUCUGUCUGUGAAAGGACAAAGGAGAAAAUGAUUGCCUUUGGUUGCCUUCUUGAGAGUUGGUUAACUGACUUCAUAUUGCAGGAAGGAAGACGGAUUUCAGCCCACCUGUUCAGACUUUGUUAUGAGGUAUUUCUGUCUCCCAGCCUUACCCAGCUUCUAAAGCAUAAAUAUAUAAAUGGCAGUAUCUGUGGGGGGCCCAUUUAUCUUCCCCUAAAAAUCAUUUAUUAUACUUCAAAAGCAUUUCACUCUACUCUGAACAAGGGCAUUUAAGCAUCUGAGUCUCCCUGAGUUAUUUGGUACUCACCUUCCCCUGAUAGCUUCUGCCCCCAAACAAUUAUCUGUGCCUUUUUUCCUGCUAUGUAUGUUGUCACUUCAGUUCAGGAAUCCUACAGUCCCCUCUCCUUCCACUACUGAACACAACUCUUCCCAGGCAUCUUUUUGUGAAUGCAUGUACUUUGCUCUACACUCCUGCCGCCCCCAAUACCAGCCCUUGCAAACUGAACUACUUGUAAGUAUAAAAACAGGCUUAUGGGUGCAAGUUCGAUACCAGACUGGUUUGAAAGCAUGCUCCAGACUUAACUGGGUUAGGGUAGUGAAGAAAAUUCAUUGCUGUUCCUUUUGUAAUAUAUUUGAGCACUUGCUGUCCUAAGGAUACAGUCCUCCAAAUUUGAGUUCUAGUGGGGAGAGAUCUGAGACAUUGUGUAGUGUGCCUUGUGGUCAGUUUCUGGGGGAAAAUGAAGAGGGAGUAUGGUUGUGAGGACAGCCUCUUGGAUGUUACUCUGUCAAAGGAUGGAGUGAAUUUAUGCUAAGACACAGGGGAUGAAAAAAAGAAGCAACGUGAUGGCUGGAGGAGUGACUCAAGUGUUAGAGCACAUGGCUAGCAAGCACAAAGCCCAGAGAUCAAACCCCAGUACCACCAAAAAUUAAAAAAUGAGCAACACGAAUCUUUGUUAAGGUCACAGUAAGUGGAAUUGGUACCUGAUUGUAGUCAUGUAACUAUUUUAAGGAAACUUGCCCCCAGUAAUCUGGUACAUGCUUGCUGUCUCCAGUCACUCCUCACCAUUGCUCCCUGAUGAAAUCACAAGUGACCACUGGGGAAAGAGUGCCCGCCCUCUUCUUUCCUGUAUUGCUUCCUAUUGUCCUCAGGCUUGUGCUGUCUGGAGGAUGAGGUGGAGACUGGAAGGAUGAGAGAGCUGAUGGUGCUCUGGAGUAAGAUCCGAUGGAGGACUUCCCUGCCACAGUGGGGUGCUUUGAAAGUAAGGAGACACAUUCAACAUGGUUUUCAUGGGGUAGACUUGGAGUGGGAGUCCAAACAUAAUAUGACAUCGGAGUGACUCCUUGAGGUGCUCAGGUAGGUUGCUAUUGGGUGUUGAACCUGAGGUGGGUGUUGCAGCAUGUGUGAUUUGCCUGGGCAUUGGUCUUUGUCAGUACUGUGUGAUGUCUUUCACAGCUGAAGAUUCUGUGUAAGGUUAUCCACCUCCACCUAUUCUAGACUGUCCACACACUUAGUGAGACUUCAUUAAGGUCAAACUAAUGGAAACGAAUAACACAUGUUGAAUACUUUGUGUUCAAAUGGAACUCCAUUUUAAAGUGGGUCUUUUUUGUUCUGAUUUAAGUUCCUCCCAUCCUUCUAGAAGUUCUAAUCCUCCUAGGCUCACUGAGGGGAUCACAUCACCUGAAUCUCUACUUCAGUGGAGUAGGUUUGUUUCCACAAGAAAAGUGCCAAGAAGGUAAGAGAUGUGGGAUAGUGAUCCACUGGUGGUGGUGACCAGGACAAAGCAGCCUGGCCUUAGAGUAGGUCCCGGUACAGCCCAUGCCAUCUGUUUUCUGCAGCUCUGUUCCUCAGGAUGUGUCUGAAAACCAGGGGACCAAGAGCAUCAAUGUCAGCCGGAACUUGAUAUCCUACAAAAAUCUCAGCCCCACUCUAGACUGUAGCAACAGAACCUGCGAUCAGCCAUAUUCCCAGGUGGCUAAACAGCAUUUGAGAAACAAGAACACACUAGAAGGCAACAGGUGACUAGCUUCAAGAUGACCAGACUGAUCCGUUUCUGAACAGCAGGACAGGUGGUGACUGCCGGGAUAAGUUUUCCUUAUGUUGCCCCAGCUGGCCUUGGACCUCUGGACUGAGGUCGUUCUCCCAUCUGAAACUCAAGGGGGUGUUUGACCACAGUUUUGUACCACCACACCUGGCUUCUGCAAUACUUAAUCAUCCAAGCAUCCUUGGAAUCUUAUUUCAAUUUGUUUCCAUCUGAGUUUCAAUUUGUUUUUCAAUUUCUGAGCAGAGGUAAGUAGAAAAUACAAGGGAAAGCCAGUUUAUUGAUUUAUUUUCCUGAAGGCAACAGUUGGUGAAGAAAGUGAUGAGAUCUGUAAU
Castor canadensis (American beaver) is the source of this 3512-nucleotide non-coding RNA. The record is from RefSeq and is a predicted model, not a curated record. Lineage: Eukaryota; Metazoa; Chordata; Mammalia; Rodentia; Castoridae.